GCGGGUUUCCCCAAACUCAGGAUUAGCCGUGCGCUCGCGCUCGUUCCCGGGUUCCCUGGCCUGAGUGCUCGGGAGGCUGCGCGCACGUUGCCAGUCCGGUCCCCGCCCCCAGGCGCGCGCGGCUCCGGGUUUUCACAGCCAUGUGCUCGUUAAUGUCGAGCGCUACUGGCGGCCAGGGCGCCCUGGAGGAUGAGGAGGACCCGCCCGAGCUGUCAGACAGCGGCGACGAGGCUGCCUGGGAGGACGAGGAGGAAGCCGAUCUCCCCCGCGACAAGCAGCACACCCCCUGCCUGUUCUGUGACAGGUUAUUUACAUCUGCUGAAGAAACGUUUUCACAUUGCAAGUCUGAGCAUCAAUUUAGUAUUGAUAACAUGGUCCAUAAACAUGGGCUUGAAUUUUAUGGAUACAUCAAGCUAAUAAAUUUCAUUAGACUUAAGAAUCCUACAGUUGAGUAUAUGAAUUCCAUAUACAACCCAGUGCCUUGGGAGAAAGAAGAAUAUUUGAAGCCAGUAUUAGAAGAUGACCUUUUACUUCAAUUUGAUGUAGAAGAUCUUUAUGAACCGGUGUCAGUUCCAUUCUCAUACCCCAAUGGGCUCAGUGAAAAUCCAUCUCUUGUUGAAAAACUGAAACACAUGGAAGCCAGGGCAGUGUCUGCUGAAGCUGCAUUAGCGAGAGCUCGUGAGGACCUGCAAAGAAUGAAACAAUUUGCUCAGGAUUUUGUGAUGAACGCAGAUGUCAGAACCUGCUCGUCAUCUACCGUUGCCAUUGCAGACCUCCAGGAAGAUGAGGAUGGUGUUUAUUUCAGCUCAUAUGGGCAUUAUGGGAUACAUGAAGAAAUGCUAAAGGACAAAGUAAGAACAGAAAGCUACCGAGAUUUUAUAUACCAAAAUCCACAUAUCUUCAAAGACAAGGUAGUUUUGGAUGUUGGUUGUGGAACUGGAAUUCUCUCUAUGUUUGCAGCGAAAGCUGGAGCAAAGAAGGUUCUUGGAGUUGACCAAUCUGAAAUACUUUACCAGGCAAUGGAUAUCAUAAGACUAAAUAAACUUGAAGAUACUGUUAUACUAAUUAAAGGAAAGAUUGAAGAAGUCCAUCUUCCUGUAGAAAAAGUGGAUGUUAUUAUAUCUGAGUGGAUGGGCUAUUUUCUUCUUUUUGAGUCUAUGUUAGAUUCUGUCCUUUAUGCAAAGAACAAAUACUUGGCAAAAGGAGGAUCAGUCUACCCUGACAUUUGCACUGUCAGCCUUGUUGCAGUAAGUGAUGUGAAUAAACAUGCUGACAGAAUUGCCUUUUGGGAUGAUGUCUAUGGCUUCAACAUGUCCUGCAUGAAGAAAGCAGUUAUUCCAGAAGCUGUUGUGGAAGUUUUAGAUCCAAAGACUCUUAUUUCUGACCCUUGUAGUAUUAAGCAUAUAGAUUGCCAUAUGACAUCUGCCUCAGAUUUGGACUUUUCUUCAGAUUUCACCCUGAAAAUUACAAAGACAUCCUUGUGCACGCAAAGCUCCUGUGUCUAUGACAUUUUUGCUACUUUGUCCCCACCUGUACCCAAGUAUUGGAUGAAAGCCACUAUUUCUUUCAGCUCAGGCAGUUGCUGGUUACUUUGAUAUAUAUUUUGAGAAGAAUUGCCACUACAGGGUCGUGUUCUCUACGGGCCCCCAGAGUACCAAAACACACUGGAAACAAACAAUAUUUCUACUGGAGAAGCCAUUUUCAGUUAAAGCAGGUGAAGCCUUGAAAGGAAAGAUCACAGUCCACAAGAAUAAGAAAGACCCACGUUCUCUCAUUGUGACCCUCACAUUGAAUAAUUCAACUCAAACUUAUGGUCUCCAGUGAGAAGUCCACAGAAACACAACUAACUUGCUGUUUUUGUUGUGGGGGUAGAGGGAGGAGUUGAUGGGAGCACAUGGCUGAUGGAUCCUUUCCUAAUGAUUCUCAAUGCAGAAGAAGCAUGGUAGGAAUCUGAUGUGAUUCAGCUAAGGAAGGGAACCCACAGAUCCUAGUGAUCCACCUACAUAAUCACCUUCUGGGAAGUCUGGUUGGUGUGCUUGAGCCAAAUUCUAGCCCUACAUUGAGGUUAGCUAUAUUGAAAAUCAUGUAUAUUGACCUAAAAUUGAAAGUCUGUUAUUUUUAAUAAGUUUCUUAAUGUAAAUUUUAGACACUAGUUAAUUUUUAGUGACUUAGAUAAUGUUUAUUAAACUUGUAACUAUACACAAGGUAUUACACAUUUUAUUGCAUAUCUCCUCUCUGAGGAGGAGGAGGAGUUUUUAUUGUAUUAUUUGCUAGACUAUCAGGAUAAAAUAGAUUAAAGAGCAAGGGUAAGGGACUAAAAUAUGGAAAAGAGGGCAUCAUACAAGUCAUAUUUGAAGACAGCUUCAUUGGUUAUUCUAGUUCUGUAAUUCUCAUUUGGUAGCUUCUUCCUCCUUUGCAAAGUCAUUAGCCAUAUACUUUUCUAGUUUUGCCCAGAGAAUCUAAUUUCAAUAUAUUUAUCCUAGGUUUCAUAAAAGUUUUUAAAGGUUGGAAUAAAUAUGUACUUAUUUACUAAUAUAAUACCUUUCUUGAACUAAGUGUAUGUGCAAAGUUAAACAUGUAACAUAAUACACUUAUAUCACUAUGCAAUUGUGUCAUUUACAAUUCUUCACUCAGUUUGAAACACGAAAGAGAAAAAGUCAAUAAAAUGUAUAUACAACAGCCAUUAGCAUUAUAAAAUGAUAUUCCAACAUAUUAAGGCCUUUUAUAAAAUCACAAGCAUGUAAAACAAGUCUUACCAAAGGAAUCAUUUUGAGGAAAACAGGAAUUUUAAGGGGAGGUGGGUCAUAUGCCUCUUUUCAGUUCAACAACUGGUCCUUUUUCAAAACAAAACAUACCCAGGACAGCAUAGCAUAGUGUUGGGACACAUGAGCUUCCCCUCAGGAGUCAGUGCCUAUGUUCAUGCCUUGGCUCCAGCUCUUACUUGCUGUGUGAUCUAGGUUAUAUUCUUCAGCCUCUCCCUCCCUUCAUGAAUGUGGCAGUUCCCGAGUUAAUACAUUUCAACUACUUAGAUCAGUGCCUGACACACAGAAAACAUUCAACAAAUGCUAUGUGAUAGCUUCAUUAUACAGUCCAAAAAAUGUCUGGCAUUUACAUGAAUUAGAUUAGUUUGAGAAUUGUCAGCGCAUUAAGUACUACCCAAGUACAUGAACGAGUAGGAAGAGUACAGCAGAAAUUGAUUUUUAAUAUAACAAAAACUAUAUCAAGAAGAACUAGUUUGGUCUUUCUUAGAGAACUGGACAUCUAGCAGUGGGAAAAUUAACCCCUUCAAAUGGUGGCAUUUCAGACCUUAGUCUCUCUUUUUUUUAAAUUAAGGUAUCAUUGAUAUAUAAUCUUAGAAAGGUUUCACAUGAGCAACAUUGUGAUUUCAGCAUUCAUCUGUAUUAUCAAGUACAGGCCCAGCCCAUUUGCAGUCACUGUCCAUCAGUGUAGUAAGAUGCUAUAGAGUCAUUACUUGUCUUCUCCAUGCCAUAUAGCCUUGCCCGUGACCUACCAAAAUUGUGAGUGCUAAUUAUAAUGCCCCUUAAUCCCCUUUUCCCUCCCUCCCCACCCACCCUUCUCAACCCUUUUUGGUACCCACUAGUCCCUUCUUGUAGUCUGAGUCUACUACUGUUUUGUUCCUCCAGUUUUGCUUUGUUAUACUCCACAAAUGAAUGAAAUCAUUGGGUACUUGUC
Molecule: RNA transcript, 3693 nt
Organism: Manis pentadactyla (Chinese pangolin)
Lineage: Eukaryota; Metazoa; Chordata; Mammalia; Pholidota; Manidae
Gene: PRMT3
Gene name: protein arginine methyltransferase 3
Exons: 17
Source: RefSeq, a predicted model, not a curated record